CCUACGGGUGGCAGCAGUGAGGAAUAUUGGUCAAUGGACGAGAGUCUGAACCAGCCAAGUAGCGUGAAGGAUGACUGCCCGAUGGGUUGUAAACUUCUUUUAUAUGGGAAUAAAAUGUGCCACGUGUGGGAUUUUGUAUGUACCAUAUGAAUAAGGAUCGGCUAACUCCGUGCCAGCAGCCGCGGUAAUACGGAGGAUCCGAGCGUUAUCCGGAUUUAUUGGGGUUAAAGGGGGCGUAGAGGGGUUGUUAAGUCAGUUUUGCAAGUUUGCGGCUCAACCGUAAAAUUGCAAUUGAUACUUGCAGUCUUGAGUCCAGUUGCGGUAGGCGGAAUUCGUGGUGUAGCGGU
RNAcentral lists this ribosomal RNA (347 nucleotides) under uncultured bacterium. Its description in RNAcentral is "partial 16S ribosomal RNA". It matches the Rfam family "Bacterial small subunit ribosomal RNA", at positions 338 to 682 of the family's 1533-position model. The record is from RNAcentral.